ACCUGUCCCAGGCCAGCACUGGGGUGCUCUUUAAGCUCUCUCUGUUCUCAUGGCAGGCUGACAGGCCUCAGCAGGCUAGGUGAGAGUGAAAUGGCAUGGUGAAUGAUACCCCACUAAGGUAUACAUUUACGUGGGAGCUGUUCCUGAGAUGAAUCAAGCCUGCUGUCUGUGCAAAGAAGGAUGAGUACAGUAGAACUGCUGAAGCCUGAGCAUUCAGCAGAGAAACUAUAGCAGACAUGAGUGAAAUGCUAGGUGAUAUCAGAGGUACACAUCCAUGCCUGUACGAAGAAUUAGAAGUGUGGCAGCUCCCAUCUUCAAAGUGGUCAUCCAAAGGCAUGGGCCACCACUCGUGUGAACAUAAGUAUAUCACUUCAUAGUUUAGUUUCCAUCUGACUUGCCGUGGGAUUUACUCUAGCUCUAGCUUUUAAAUGGAAAUGCAAUGCCUUUAUCCCAACUCAGUCUUGCAAUCUUUUCAACCUCAAUACUGAGUCUGAUCAGCACCAGUAUCUACAGGGAGAGACGUAGAAGACCCUGUGUUUAGCAGCAUUAGUUAGCAAAGCAAAGGUAUUUAUUACAAAGGACAGUUUCUUAUGUUUCAAAUAAGUAUAGUUUAAACCCAUACAGAUAAAGUUAUAUCACCUUAACAAUGCAUUGUUUAACUUUAGCCGGUACAAUUAUGUUAUUUUUGGUCAACCUACUGAGCAACCAAGCCAUCUUUCCUGUCCAAUCCAAGCGUGCUAUGUCUUUCUUCAUUGUGAUAUUAGAUGACACAAGAAAGAUGUAUCACAACAAAGCCAAUUGUCUUUUUUUCAGUGUUGAGAUGGUUAUUUUCCCUACUCUUCUUUUGCUGUGAGCACCAGGAAGAGAAAGUUUGUUCUUAUAGUCUGUCUACAUUGCAAUGGAAAAUCUGAACUCUUCUCCCAAUAUUACAAGUAGUAUAAAGUUUACUAUGUUGGGACUUCAUGGGUCCAGUACAUACUCUGUCACCACUACUAAGGUCAACAGAAAGUGCUAGCACAGAACUUUAUUCUGUGAAGAAGACAUUUCUUUCCUUUCCUUUCAUGAGGAACAAUUGUCUUCUCUACUGCUUAUUUUUCUUUACCACAGUUUUAGCUGUUAAAAAAUAAUAAUGUAUUCAUAGAAUCAUAGAAUCACUUGGGUUGGAAGGGACCUCAAGGAUCAUCAAGUUCCAACCUCCCUGCAGCAGGCAGGGUUGCCAACGGCUAGAUCAAAUACUAUAUCAUAUUGCCCAGGACCCUGUCCAACCUGGACUUAAACAUCUCCAGGGACAGAGCAUCCACAGCCUCCCUGAGCAGCCUGUUUCAGCACCUCACCAUACUCUCAGUGAGAGAUACACUGUAUUAAUGCAGUACUUUGGAUUUUAC
RNAcentral lists this long non-coding RNA (1385 nucleotides) under Gallus gallus (chicken). RNAcentral describes it as "lncRNA (ENSGALG00010004220.1)". Lineage: Eukaryota; Metazoa; Chordata; Aves; Galliformes; Phasianidae. The record is from RNAcentral.